GGGGGAAAUACAAGUUAAAACACCAAGAACAUAACUAAAAGUUUCUAACAGCUUUCAUCAGAAAAGUUGGACACCAUUCACGGACUGUUUUGGACACCUUAAACAUUUUAGUUUUCAAAACUGUUUUAGGUGCAUGUAGUUCCACUUCUUAGCUUUAAAAUGACUACUUGCACAUCUCCAUACGAUUUUUCUACAAUUUAUGGUGAUUUUUACAAAACUGCCUAUCAUUUCAAACACCAAUCCGGACCAGUCUGUGAUUAUGGACUUUUUCACCUAAGUUGCAGGUCAUUAAAAAUCAUGAUAAAAAUUAUGAGUAAACUAGACACANCAGGUCAUUAAAAAUCAUGGUAAAAAUUAUGAGUAAACUAGACACAUUUUGGGAACUCCCAGAAUUUACGGAUUUAGUUUUCGACUUCGUAUGAUUUUUCUAUAAAGUUUCAAAAACAGUGUAGAAAGGCUGAAAAUUUGUUAACAGCUUGUAAUUUUUACAACACUUUGU
Molecule: long non-coding RNA, 499 nt
Filed under: Lactuca sativa (garden lettuce)
Lineage: Eukaryota; Viridiplantae; Streptophyta; Magnoliopsida; Asterales; Asteraceae
Description: long non-coding RNA (LSAT_LNC004288)
Source: RNAcentral